UUGAACCACAGGAAAGAUAAGGCCUUCACCGUCCAUUCACGUCCUGGGUAGUAUUUCUAUUCUGUGCACUGGGCUCCGUAACGGAGAAAACUUCAGCAACCCUGCCUCCCUGGCUUCUACGGUAGCAGAGGAUGAGACUACAACCAAAGUAUCUUCUGUCUUCUUCGGAAUCAGCAAGAGGAUGGGACAUGACCUCUCCGGGCUUUUGACGUUACAAUCAGAAGCGUGGUGUUUCCUGUGGCGUGUCAUCCUUUACAGCGCUGAGAUGCCCCCAAGUUAACAAUAGAAACGACUCUGGUCCAGAUCACCACAUCAAGAGGUUCGUUUAGUUUCUGCACUUAAAAUGAGAUGGACCAUUCUUAGUUUCUCUGCGAAAUUUCUCUCCCCCAUAUGCUCGCUCACAAAUAAAG
This 410-nucleotide long non-coding RNA is filed under the name Mustela putorius furo (domestic ferret). Its description in RNAcentral is "lncRNA (ENSMPUG00000029540.1)". Lineage: Eukaryota; Metazoa; Chordata; Mammalia; Carnivora; Mustelidae. The record is from RNAcentral.